Molecule: long non-coding RNA, 714 nt
Filed under: Eucalyptus grandis
Lineage: Eukaryota; Viridiplantae; Streptophyta; Magnoliopsida; Myrtales; Myrtaceae
Description: long non-coding RNA (EGRA_LNC002325)
Source: RNAcentral
CAUUUAUUAAGCACAUGCGGAAGCAGUUAAAAUCCCCAGACAAUAAAACGAUGGGAUAGAAAAGCAGGGCCAUAUUUUUCAUAUUGAAACUUAUAACCAAACUUUUAUACAAAGCACAAACCAAAGCACUUCACAACUUUUACUCUAAACUCUAUUUACAUCAAAAUAGAGAUCUCAAAAGAAGAUAGGAUCUCAAUCCAUCCAGGCCGUAUUUAAGGCCCCUCUCAGGAUUGCCUUCUUCCUCCAACAAUCUUUCUCCUUAAGAUUCGCCUCCGAGUCCUCCUUCUCGGAUUCCUCCUUCUCAGCUCUUCAGCGGGGUCCUGAAAUGGUUUUCCCCAAACUGGGAUGAGACUACGUCUCAGCAAGUUCUACCCCACUAAGCCCGAUUAGUAAACUAUUAUACUACAGGCUGCCUAAACACGCACAGGGCAGAGGACUCACCUUGGCCUCAGAUCCCACCUGCAAGUCAAUACAAUUCAUAAUAGGCACCCAAGCAAUCAUGUCACCGAUCGAAGCAUCGAUCAAAUCGACCUAGUCGAUUAUAUUCCAACAAGACCACUCACGGUCAUUCCCAUUCAGUCAAUCAAUUCACAUCAAAUCAAAGCAUCGACCUAGUCGAUUACAUGUCAAACAAAUCACUCUCCACAGAGGAGUAUCUAAAAGCUAGGCCACGUGCAUUCUCCAGGACGACCUUCCAAGUCUCCGAGCCACGUG